GCAAACUUGGUCAUUUAGAGGAAGUAAAAGUCGUAACAAGGUUUCCGUAGGUGAACCUGCGGAAGGAUCAUUAGAAAGAUCGAACCAAAAUAUGGACGAUCAAAUCCAUAUCCACCUUGUGUGCACUCAUUGACCGUUUACUUUGGCAGGAGUCGUCUUCGAUCCGCUCGAUCGAAGCGAAGGAGGUUCUCUUCUCUCCUCUUCCGGGGGGGAAAAUGUGAAACCUUGGCCUGCCAGAGUUUUUCUCUUAAACACGCUUCUUUUAAAUCUUUUGGACUGAACCCUCGUCUCGAUUCUCAGUAAUCGGUCGAAUGAAAUACAACUUUCAACAACGGAUCUCUUGGCUCUCGCAUCGAUGAAGAACGCAGC
Molecule: unclassified non-coding RNA, 369 nt
Filed under: uncultured fungus
Lineage: Eukaryota; Fungi
Description: partial contains small subunit ribosomal RNA, internal transcribed spacer 1, and 5.8S ribosomal RNA
Rfam family: Eukaryotic small subunit ribosomal RNA (bases 1-73)
Source: RNAcentral